GACGAACGCUGGCGGCGUGCUUAACACAUGCAAGUCGAACGGAAAGGCCCUGCUUUUGUGGGGUGCUCGAGUGGCGAACGGGUGAGUAACACGUGAGUAACCUGCCCUUGACUUUGGGAUAACUUCAGGAAACUGGGGCUAAUACCGGAUAGGAGCUCCUGCUGCAUGGUGGGGGUUGGAAAGUUUCGGCGGUUGGGGAUGGACUCGCGGCUUAUCAGCUUGUUGGUGGGGUAGUGGCUUACCAAGGCUUUGACGGGUAGCCGGCCUGAGAGGGUGACCGGCCACAUUGGGACUGAGAUACGGCGCAGACUGCUACGGGAGGCAGCAGGGGGGAAUAUUGCACAAUGGGCGGACGCCUGAUGCAGCAACGCCGCGUGCGGGAUGACGGCCUUCGGGUUGUAAACCGCUUUCGCCUGUGACGAAGCGUGAGUGACGGUAAUGGGUAAAGAAGCACCGGCUAACUACGUG
RNAcentral lists this ribosomal RNA (468 nucleotides) under uncultured bacterium. Its description in RNAcentral is "partial 16S ribosomal RNA". It matches the Rfam family "Bacterial small subunit ribosomal RNA", at positions 28 to 507 of the family's 1533-position model. The record is from RNAcentral.